UCGGACACUGAGCACACGGAUGGUGAUUGGUGUGGACUGAAGACAGGAGGGCUUCAUCCAACUGACGUGACCUAGAUAUUUUGGAAUAAUGUAGACAGCCAAAGGGGCUCAUCUCCAAGAGAGAACACAUAAUCAUCAUGAGCCACUACCUAAGUUGGAAGUACGUAAUAAAGAGGCCAGAUGAUUACAUGGAAAAUAAAAGGGAAGAGGAUUGAAAAUUUCAACAAGGCAAAAGUGAUGAAAAUGUCUUCAUGGAACCUUUGGAAUCUUCUGGAGGGGCUUAUCAGGAUGGAAGAGGGAAGGAGACUUAAGAGUAAUUGCUGCUUGUCCCAGAUCGAGAAACUGAGUCUCAAAGAAAGAUUUGAUGGAAGUCUGUCUGGCUCCAAAGCUUGGACUUCUAAUAAUCCACUCCGCAAUGUUUGAAUAUAAAAAAAUAUCCUGCUAAAUGAUGGAAGCCUUCCAUCUCUUCAUCCCCAAGCUUUCUGCAUGCCUGGUGACAGCUCAUUACUGGUCUCCAAGGACUUAUGGACUUCUCUGAGGAUAACCUUGCCAUUGCUGCUCCUGUGCACCAUGAGAACGACAACUAUCCUGGUCAAGGCGCCCUUUCCUGAUACCCCCAGCGCUGCCAGCCCUCCAGCCUCUCCACAACACAGACCAGUUUGUGUUCUGUGCAGAGAUGAGAAAAAUGACCCUCUUCCCCCCUGGUUCAAAUCUGGGCUUCCAGAAGGCCUACUCAUCUUUUCUGUGUCCUGAUGUCAUACAAAGUCCUAUGUGAAAAAACAGCCCCCAGUCUCCGCCUACACACUCACUUUUCCUAACUAUGAGAUUUGAAAAUCAAAGCUUGUGGUCGGCAGAGGCCUGUUGUCCUCCAGUUCCUCACUUCUCUAUCUUUCCUGCAGCACAAAAGAGCCCAUCUCAAAGGGCCCCUUCUCGGUGUUUCACGCAAUAGAGUCUCUGAGGCGAAGGCAUGUUGAGAUGCAACGGUUCCACUGGGGUAAUAUGAGCUUGGGCUUAUAUUAUACACAUACUCAAACACAGUGCUAGAUAUACAUAAUAUGUGUAUAUACAUACACACAUAUGUGUACGUAUGUGUGCUUGGCUAUGCGUGUACUAACUAUAAAUUCAGAGUUAUAGAUUUGAGACUUGGAUCGCCUUUUACCAAUUGUGUAAAUCUGGGCAAUCUCUUAGCCUGUCAGAAUAUCAGUUUCUUCAUCUGUAAAUGGGGAAUUUCAGUAGCUCCAUAGUAUUUACAAAUUUAAUGUUCAUGGAAUCAAGCCUGUGCAAGUGACCAUGACGGACCAUGACCUGUGGUGAUUUGUAAUCUUACCGAGGCAUGAAAUUGAGAAAAUUGAGGCUUGUGUACUAAGGAGCUGUUGUGCAGAAGAGAGCCAGUUAGCUGGGGGCGUGAGCCUUGUUAACUGCUCAGCAGGCAACUAGCCACAUGGUUCGUUGUUUUCUGCUUGACCCUGUGUACACAGUAAGUCUCUUGA
Balaenoptera ricei (Rice's whale) is the source of this 1490-nucleotide long non-coding RNA. RefSeq lists it as uncharacterized. The record is from RefSeq and is a predicted model, not a curated record. The transcript has 7 exons. Lineage: Eukaryota; Metazoa; Chordata; Mammalia; Artiodactyla; Balaenopteridae.